CCAAUCUCUCUCCGUUCCCCAACUCCGGCUCAUCCGCCCCCUGGCACGACGGCGUGAGGUAGACCUACCACCGUCCACGACCCCUUCCCCAAUACUGUCCGGGCGGCGGCGGCCUUGGCCCUUGGCUUCGGCGUGGAUCCAAGAUCAACCACCCCAUCCUCGUCGCUCGCCCGUGACAGCCAGGCUCCUCCAACGCAUGCCGCAGCGGCACGAGGAAAAUAUACAAGCGCGCUAAGAGCAGCCUGUAGGAAGCUCGUGCCAGUACGCGGCGGGUGUUGGUUGGCGCUUGCAGGCUGUUCAACCUGUUCUCUGAAGACUUCAGUAUCAACCUUAUUGCAGUGGAUUCUCCACCUCUCCAAUCAGUUGGGCCUGGAUGUUUGACAUUUUGUACUGACGGUGGGCCAUUUCUUCGCUUGAAAUUUUAUUUGGAAGGUAUGGAGAACAACAGAUGGAAAAAAGAAGAAUAUAUUGUGCAGUUGCAGCUAAAGAUGAUUCAUACAAUUGCAUUGCUUGCUGCUCUGUUCAUAAGAAUGUACUUUGUGUUGAACUUAGGUGUUUAUCCCCAUGCUGUCAUUUAUUUCAGUUUUUGAUUGGAGGUGCUUUAUACAGCGGAAAAAAGAUGGUAAAAUAAUUGCUAUUGAUGUAUGCACUAUAAAUGGCGAGGUUUUUGGUCCUCACUAUGCUGGUGUUAUAUGGAGAAGUGCUUUUCACAUAGACUAUACUGGUCUUGAUAAUAACAACUAAAUGUGCCAUGUGCCUAGCAGUAGUAUUUACCACUGUGCAAGGUCCACUUCAGAUUGAGGUGAUAAUGUGUAUCAUGUUUUCUCGUUAUCCCCUAAGCACAAGUGCAAGCAGGAGUACAAUCUCCAUCUGCACGUGAAGGAGGUCAUUGACGCGGCCCUUUGAUGAUGGAGGGCACCAAUUUCUACCGUUGACGAUGACGAAGACCUAAGCGGCAAGCACAAGUUUAAGACCUGGAACGGUAAAGAUCGACAGCGUACAUCCUGGUCUUCAUGGAAUUUGCUGUGAUUACCUUCUCUCUGGUGUUCACUUCAGUUUGUAAUAUUUCAUACUGCCUGUUUAUGGAGUUCGGUACUACUUGCGUUUAAAUCAAUUUGUCAUUCUCUUUUAUUGAGAAAUCUGGCAGCUAAGUUAUUUA
Long non-coding RNA from Lolium rigidum, 1159 nucleotides. RefSeq lists it as uncharacterized. NCBI's taxonomy places the organism in Eukaryota, Viridiplantae, Streptophyta, Magnoliopsida, Poales, Poaceae. The record is from RefSeq and is a predicted model, not a curated record. The transcript has 2 exons.